RNAcentral lists this ribosomal RNA (460 nucleotides) under uncultured bacterium. Its description in RNAcentral is "partial 16S ribosomal RNA". It matches the Rfam family "Bacterial small subunit ribosomal RNA", at positions 338 to 795 of the family's 1533-position model. The record is from RNAcentral.
CCUACGGGUGGCAGCAGUGAGGAAUAUUGGUCAAUGGACGCAAGUCUGAACCAGCCAUGCCGCGUGCAGGAAGACGGCUCUAUGAGUUGUAAACUGCUUUUGUACGAGGGUAAACGCAGAUACGCGUAUCUGUCUGAAAGUAUCGUACGAAUAAGGAUCGGCUAACUCCGUGCCAGCAGCAGCGGUAAUACGGAGGAUUCAAGCGUUAUCCGGAUUUAUUGGGUUUAAAGGGUGCGUAGGCGGUCGGAUAAGUUAGAGUUGAAAUCCCGAGGCUCAACUUCGGAAUUGCCUCUGAUACUGUUAGGCUAGAGAGUAGUUGCGGUAGGCGGAAUGUAUGGUGUAGCGGUGAAAUGCUUAGAGAUCAUACAGAACACCGAUUGCGAAGGCAGCUUACCAAGCUACGUCUGACGUUGAGGCACGAAAGCGUGGGGAGCAAACAGGAUUAGAUACCCCCGUAGUC